UUUGCCCCUAAUAUCUCAGGUGCUCUGAAAAGAGCUUAAAAGGGAACCCGGUGUAAAUCCGGGACGGGCCCGCCGCUGUAACCGGGGACGAGUUUCGCAAUAAAGCCACUGUUUCUUUACGGGAAGGCGCGAAGCAAGGACGAACCGGGAGUCAGAAGACCUGCCAGGGAUAGUAUAUGUAU
Molecule: non-coding RNA, 182 nt
Filed under: Deltaproteobacteria bacterium
Lineage: Bacteria; Pseudomonadati; Myxococcota; Myxococcia
Source: RNAcentral